Molecule: long non-coding RNA, 3058 nt
Filed under: Homo sapiens (human)
Lineage: Eukaryota; Metazoa; Chordata; Mammalia; Primates; Hominidae
Description: HSALNT0075295
Source: RNAcentral
CCCAAGCCUUGGCUAGGCGCGCGCGCGCACGGGGUCGGGCGCUCCCGGGCGGCGGUGGCACCACGUAGCCGCCUCCUUCCACCGCUCGCUUUAUCCCCGCCCCUUCUCGGGCCAACCCCAAGCGCCGCUGACCCCGAACGUCGCUGCGGGGUAGGUAGGGGGUGGGAGGGUGGAGGACCGCAGGCGAGAGGGAGAAGGAAGGGCGCCCGGGGAGCAGGCUGGCAGAGUGACCGGGAUUGAUGAGCGGCGCAGCUCUGGAGGGACGCGGGCGAGAGGGUCGCUCCUCGGGGAGAGGGCUGGGUGAGUGAGGACCUGCGAGCCACCCCCGACACCCCUUCCAGGGUAGCCACACUGGCGCCCCCUCCUCCACAACAGGCUUAUGUGGCUAGAGAAGAUGCGAUGCCACUGGACAGGGAAGGAAAGUCGUCGUGGACUUCGCUGAAUGGAAAAGGGGGUAGUUGGGGAAGGUGGAGAAAAGAGCCACGGGAAGUGGGAGGAAAGGAUGAAGGGAUGGGACGUUGAAAAGGAAAGCUUCCUGAAUCCCUGUGUGACUCUAACCCAACCUCCCCACCUACCGGAGAAAUGGGUUUUAUCCUAGAAAUGGGGACGAGGAAAAAGAGAUGGCUCAAGGGAGUCCUGGCCCGGGAUGCGAUCCUCGCCCUAGGGUCUAUUGCAACCACACAAACCCGGACAGCGCACGCUCCCCCCUACCCCGACAGAAUAGUGCCUAAGAAACCUGCUUGCCUCCUAACUCUAGGAAGGAAUCCACAACGGAUUCCAGGGAGGUCUUCUGGGGAAUCUGAAUUGGGUUUUUGGAUCACGAACCAUUAAGCUUUUGAACUCUGGGGAAGAAUAGAACAGGUGGCUGGAAAUUGUUUUAGAACCCUACCUGAGCAGGUGUGCUCAUUAGUUGCUUAUCCGCCCUCCUCCUGGAGCACUUUCAUAGGUGUUGGCAAAGCAGGUACCAGUAUUUCACGGAAGGAGAAGGAAGAACCGCCCAGGACUGUGUAUAAAUGUCUAUGGGAAUAUUUUUAAGGAUUCAAAAGGCUAGAAGGAGGUGAGAUCAAAAAAUUUUUCCAGCACCACCCAGUGCAACCCGAUCCUGGACACAGAAAUCUAAAAGAUGAUACUUAAAUACUUGAGUUUGAGAGCCUCUAGUUAUAAGGUUUCCUACGUAACAACCUCUCACUUUUCUCAAAAACUGGCUAGUUGACAACCGGCAGUCAAGUUUUGGCUAGUCAAGAAGCUACUUUUUCCUGCAAUAAACCACAUUUAGAGAUAGUACUGGGCUUCAGCAGGAUUGAGGCUAUAUUGAGGUCGCAAGUAUGAACGAGGUACCCACAGAGAUGGGAGGGCCAGGAGAUCCUACUCAUUCAGUACCUCAGAAGCUAUGACACGGGAUAACAGUAGCUUCAGCCCUUUGGAUGAAAUAAUCCUCACUCCCUCAAAAGUGCUCUCUACCCACUCAAAACACAGGCCAUACUACCACCAAUCUGGUAGACUUCAAAAGUAAGGUCUUUCAGCAGCAGAUUUCCUUGUUAACAGGAAGGUACUGACAAGCUUUACCUAAGCCUAUUGGAGCUAUGUUGUAAUUCUGUAUAUAAAUAGAACAGUCGCUGCAGGAAUACUGGAUGAGUCAGAAGAAAGGUCUGUCCUAAGCUGAUGUGACACAUUUCAAAAGGACCAGAAAUUAGAUGCAAUUGAUGACUGAGUUGAUCUCUAAGUGGAUUUAUCUUUGAAAUAAAAAUCAGUGGAUAUCCCAUAUACCCGACCCCACACCCUCCCCCAUUGUCAACAUCCCCAACCAAAGUAGCACAUUUGCUACAAAUAGUGAACCUACAUUGCCAGAUCAUUAUCACCCAAAGUCCAUAGUUUACAUUAGGGUUCACUCUUGGGGCUGUAUAUUCUAUAGGGUUGGACAAAUAUAGAAUAACAUGAACCCACCCUCAUAGUAUCAUAGUAUCAUACAGAGUAUUUUCACUGCCCUAAAAGUCCUCUGUACACCACCUAUUUAUCCCUUCCUCCCCCCAGUCUCUGGCAGCCACUGAAGUUUGACUGUAUCCCUGUCUCCUUAGUUUUGCCUUUUCCGGAAUGCCAUAUAUAAGGAAUCAUACAGUAUGCAGUCUUUCUUUCAAUUUUGCUGUGAAACUAAAACUGCUAAGAAAAUAAAGUCUUAAAAAGAAAAAUCAAUGGAGAAGGGAAAGCUCUACCACCCUCUGAUUUUUUUUAACAGCCUAUGAUAAGAGGAGAUGAAUGCCUGCUAAAGCGACCAGAAGGCUCUCAGUAAAAAGUAUUCACUAGGUAUCAAUAGAAUCUGCAAAACGAAGAGGUGCUUGAAAGAUGUGAAAGAGGAAACUUAAAGAGAAACCCAGAUGGUACAUCUCUCUUCCUGGCUAGAUAGAUGGAAUGUACAGCCAGAGGAUUGGAUGAGGUCAUCGACGGAGAGAAUGCAGAGAGAAUCCUGGGGCUCACCAACAUGAAGAAUUUGGGACAAGAAAGAAGAUCCAGCAGAGAAGACUGAAAGAAGGCAACUAAUGAAAUAGGAGAGAACCUGGAGAGCACAGAGUCUUAGAGGCCAAGAAAGUGGUUUAAUAUAAUCCGUAUCAAAGCAUUUGUGGUUUAUUUUUGUUAACUGACAAAAGGAUUCUAAAACAUACCUGAAAAGUAUAAUUCACACCUAGGAUAAUGGAUCAUUCUGUCACAUUGUUCCUUUUUCACAGCUGAUAUGAACAUGAUAUUUUCAUGACUUUGUAAAAUAAAAAUGGAAUCUUUCUAAUUUUUUUAAAAAAACUGCUUACUUAUGCAAGCCUUCUGUCUCUCACUGUAUAACCCCUCCACUUUUAUACGGGUCACACAUGUUUCUGUCACUUUCCUGGAGCCCUUGUAGCAAAUUAAUAACAUGUAGCACAUGCUUGAAGAAAAAUUUGUCUAGGACAUUUUGUUUUUGAGAUUCAUAAAUUGACUCUAUUUUACAUAAGAAUCUAUUAUGCCAUAGGAAGCUUAUUAAACCCUUGAGCAGGAACAAAUUAUUCAAUAAAUGGUGAUGAGAUGAAUGCCU